Molecule: ribosomal RNA, 1110 nt
Filed under: Capillaria bufonis
Lineage: Eukaryota; Metazoa; Nematoda; Enoplea; Trichinellida; Capillariidae
Description: partial 28S ribosomal RNA
Rfam family: Eukaryotic large subunit ribosomal RNA
Source: RNAcentral
GCUCAGCGCCGAAGCCAUAGUUGCUGCGUGCAUCUAUUGCGGUGUGGUGCUUACACUUGGCGGUUGUUGUUCAGCUUACUGUCCUAGGCUCCCUUGAUUGGGACACCACGGUGGGUGCAAGACCUAUGAGGACAGAGCUUGCAAUAAACCUUUCGCCGAGCUGUAGAGUCGGGUUGUUUGAGAGUGCAGCCCAAAGCGGAUGGUAUAUCCCAUCUAAAGCUAAAUAUGGCUACGAGACCGAUAGCGAACAAGUACCGCGAGGGAAAGUUGAAAAGAACUCUGAAGAGAGAGUUAAAUAGGACGUGAAACCGUUCGGAAGCAAACCGAUGGAGCUGUCGUUCAGUUUGUAUCAGCAAUCAGUCGAUACGCGAGCUGUGCGUACGUUGUUUGAAUGCACAUGACAUCGGUGCACGGCAGCGGACGAUGCAUUUGUUGACAACUGGCGUCACGAACAGUGUCUGGCAGUCGUGUCCGUACGAUGCGUAAACGCGGGAGCCGCUUGCUUGUGGCAUUCCUUACAGCGUUGGGCGCGUACGGAUGGUUGAUAGACGAUUGAUUAUCAGAGCUGUUGUGUGUGGCCACUGAUAGUCGUUUCAUGGCUUUCUUGCCACUGGAACGGUGUUGCAGCUUGGCCGUCGUCGUACAGAUGUCUUGCAGUGUGGACCAUUUUGACCGGUUGUCUAAGCCAUUUUCAUUGGCCGAUGAUUUGCGUGGUCGCAUUGCUGGGCACUGGCGGUCAGGUUUCGCGAUUAGCACCUAUCAGUGCGUCUGUGACGUUUCACACAGCCACCCAUUGGACCCGUCUUGAAACACGGACCAAGGAGUGCAGCAGUUAUGCGAGUCGUUGACGUGAUAACGACGGUCAAAGGCGUAACGAAAGUACAGUUGCUUUGCCGAUCCCGGUUUGUCGAUGCUGGGCGCAUUGCAGUGCCGUUCGAUUCGUGCUGCCUCGUGUAGCCGAACGAACGGACUCGGAGCAUACAUGCUGCUACCCGAAAGAUGGUGAACUAUGCUUGAGCAGGACGAAGCCAGAGGAAACUCUGGUGGAAGUUCGAAGCGGUGUUGACGUGCAAAUCACUCGCCUGACUUGUGCAUAGGGGCGAAAGACUA